This 352-nucleotide ribosomal RNA is filed under the name uncultured bacterium. RNAcentral describes it as "bacterial SSU rRNA". It matches the Rfam family "Bacterial small subunit ribosomal RNA", at positions 32 to 361 of the family's 1533-position model. The record is from RNAcentral.
AAUCAACGCUGGCGGCGUGCCUCAGACAUGCAAGUCGAACGCGAAAGUCCCCUUCGGGGGACAAGUAGAGUGGCGCACGGGUGAGUAACACGUAGGUAAUCCACCUUCGGAUGGGGAAGUAACAACCGGAAACGGUUGCUAAUACCGCAUAAUGCAGCGGCACCUAAUGGUGACAGUUGUUAAAGCGGGGGAGUCGAAAGACCUCGCGUCUGAAGAGGAGCCUGCGGCGGAUUAGCAGUUGGUAAGGUAACGGCUUACCAAGGCGACGAUCCGUAGCCGGCCUGAGAGGGGCGGUCGGCCACACUGACACUGACAUACGGGUCAGACUCCUACGGGAGGCAGCAGUCGGGAA